RNAcentral lists this ribosomal RNA (505 nucleotides) under uncultured bacterium. RNAcentral describes it as "partial 16S ribosomal RNA". It matches the Rfam family "Bacterial small subunit ribosomal RNA", at positions 28 to 507 of the family's 1533-position model. The record is from RNAcentral.
GACGAACGCUGGCGGCGUGCCUAAUACAUGCAAGUAGAACGCACAGUUUAUACCGUAGCUUGCUACACCAUAGACUGUGAGUUGCGAACGGGUGAGUAACGCGUAGGUAACCUGCCUGGUAGCGGGGGAUAACUAUUGGAAACGAUAGCUAAUACCGCAUAAUAUUGAUUAUUGCAUGAUAAUUGAUUGAAAGAUGCUAUUGCAUCACUACCAGAUGGACCUGCGUUGUAUUAGCUAGUAGGUGAGGUAACGGCUCACCUAGGCGACGAUACAUAGCCGACCUGAGAGGGUGAUCGGCCACACUGGGACUGAGACACGGCCCAGACUCCUACGGGAGGCAGCAGGAGGGAAUCUUCGGCAAUGGACGAGAGUCUGACCGAGCAACGCCGCGUGAGUGAGGAAGGUUUUCGGAUCGUAGAGCUCUGUUGUAAGAGAAGAACGGGUGUGAGAGUGGAAAGUUCACACUGUGACGGUAUCUUACCAGAAAGGGACGGCUAACUACGUG